This 259-nucleotide unclassified non-coding RNA is filed under the name uncultured fungus. Its description in RNAcentral is "sequence contains ITS2". The stretch from base 1 to 52 matches the Rfam family "5.8S ribosomal RNA", at positions 103 to 154 of the family's 154-position model. The record is from RNAcentral. Lineage: Eukaryota; Fungi.
AACGCAUCUUGCGCCCCGUGGCAUUCCGCGGGGCAUGUCUGUUUGAGUGUCGUUUCCUCUCAAUCCGCACUCGUGCGCGACGUGGAGCUUGGGUGUCGGCAGCGUGUGCUGCCCACCCGGAAGUCAGAGGCCAAGCCUGAUCUGCGGCUAGACCGAACGUUGUAAGGUUCGCCUCGUUCGGGACGCGGGUCACCAUUGAGCCAAACUUAUGAAAUCGACUUUUGACCUCAAAUCAGGCAGGACUACCCGCUGAACUUAA